RNAcentral lists this ribosomal RNA (654 nucleotides) under Klebsiella pneumoniae. RNAcentral describes it as "partial 23S ribosomal RNA". It matches the Rfam family "Bacterial large subunit ribosomal RNA", at positions 2277 to 2925 of the family's 2925-position model. The record is from RNAcentral. Lineage: Bacteria; Pseudomonadati; Pseudomonadota; Gammaproteobacteria; Enterobacterales; Enterobacteriaceae. RNAcentral also lists the same sequence under 1 other name.
GGGCGGUCUCCUCCCAAAGCGUAACGGAGGAGCACGAAGGUUAGCUAAUCCUGGUCGGACAUCAGGAGGUUAGUGCAAUGGCAUAAGCUAGCUUGACUGCGAGCGUGACGGCGCGAGCAGGUGCGAAAGCAGGUCAUAGUGAUCCGGUGGUUCUGAAUGGAAGGGCCAUCGCUCAACGGAUAAAAGGUACUCCGGGGAUAACAGGCUGAUACCGCCCAAGAGUUCAUAUCGACGGCGGUGUUUGGCACCUCGAUGUCGGCUCAUCACAUCCUGGGGCUGAAGUAGGUCCCAAGGGUAUGGCUGUUCGCCAUUUAAAGUGGUACGCGAGCUGGGUUUAGAACGUCGUGAGACAGUUCGGUCCCUAUCUGCCGUGGGCGCUGGAGAAUUGAGGGGGGCUGCUCCUAGUACGAGAGGACCGGAGUGGACGCAUCACUGGUGUUCGGGUUGUCAUGCCAAUGGCACUGCCCGGUAGCUAAAUGCGGAAGAGAUAAGUGCUGAAAGCAUCUAAGCACGAAACUUGCCCCGAGAUGAGUUCUCCCUGAGACUUUAAGUCUCCUGAAGGAACGUUAAAGACGAUGACGUUGAUAGGCCGGGUGUGUAAGCGCAGCGAUGCGUUGAGCUAACCGGUACUAAUGAACCGUGAGGCUUAACCUU